UGGCGGGCGGCGGGCAGGGGCCGGCCCGGCCGCCUCUGGGCUCGGCCCCCUCAGGGCUCGGCCCCACAGCGCUCGGCGCCUGGGUGUUUGCGGCGCUGUGUGUUUGAAACGGGCCAAAGGAAAUUCAUCAGUGCUGAAGUGAUUGAGAAAGAGCUCCUUCGUAUUUACAAGCCUUGACAAUUCUUCCAGGGAACAUGAGAGCUAUCACUGGUUGUUACUGACAUUCUGCUCCGUCAAUUUAUGAAUCAACAGCCCAGCUUCAAACUGCAUCCAGAUGUAAGCUGACAAUGGUUGGGAAACUCCCACCUCCCUGGAGCAAUGGUUCCCUGCACCAAGCAGCAGCAAGACAUCAUCCCAGGACCAAAGGCUUCUCUCUUGAACAAGCUGCUCACUGGGGUCCGUUAUUCCACUUGGUAAAAUCCUGCCUGUUUUUCAGUUUUAAGUUCUCAGUUACUCUUUUGCCUUACAGGGCCUGGCUGAGUGUUCUACUCAAAUCUUUGCUUUUGGCAGCUGUACAGGUUCUUGCUUUUUAAGAAAGUGCUUGUUAGAUGGACUGUAGGUGGUGAGCUGGGCAUCUCAUGUUUACAAAGGCACAAGUGUCAGCUUUGCCCAUCUUGCAGCUCAUUUUCAUUGGGGUUUUUUUGGUAGUGAUAUGAGGGUUGUUACUAAUGGUCUGUCUCAGUGGUGUUGGAUUUCUUGUUCCCGUUUUUUAUUUCCCUGCUUCCAGAUGAAAGGAGAGCACACACCUGCCUUGCCCCAGCAGGGCAGUGCAAGCUCCUGUGUACCCAGGUGCCAGAAGCCUCUGGACAGCAGGGCUGGGCUCUUGCUGCUCAGUGUGCAACAUCUGCAAACUUCUGUCCUGCCAAAAUGAAGAGUUUCCAGUUUACCUGGUAAAUUCCUGAGCAGUUUCCAAGGUGCACUACCUUAAUUUAGAGCCAUGGGACUCUUCCUCUGGUCCUCCCUGAUGCUCUUUUACAUACCUUACAAAGAUGAGCCUGUUACUAACUACCGCCCUUUGGUAAUAACACCGGCUUGGUGUAACACUUGAUGGCACCUUCAUGCUGGCUAUAAAAAUAGAAACACCAAGUAUGACUUG
Molecule: long non-coding RNA, 1096 nt
Organism: Camarhynchus parvulus
Lineage: Eukaryota; Metazoa; Chordata; Aves; Passeriformes; Thraupidae
Exons: 3
Source: RefSeq, a predicted model, not a curated record